This 1600-nucleotide long non-coding RNA is filed under the name Homo sapiens (human). RNAcentral's name for it is "non-protein coding lnc-OXLD1-1:1". Lineage: Eukaryota; Metazoa; Chordata; Mammalia; Primates; Hominidae. The record is from RNAcentral.
GAUUGGCCGGAGCGCCCGCCGCUCACGGUCAGGGGUUGCCGGAUCCCGUCCGCGGGCGAUGCUGCUGCGGAGGGUGGUCGAGGGAGGCCGGGCGGUAGCCGCCGCGGUCCGUGGCUCGGCAAGUACCAGGACGGGUCUUGGCAGCGCCGAAGGGCACGUCCGAGAGGCCGCUGUCCGGGGGCCCGCACGUACCGGGAGGAGCCCCGGCCCCUCCACCCGCAUGUGGGGACGGAGCCGGGAGGAUCGCGCGCUGGCCGCCGCCGAAGGACCCCUCGCUCCUCUCCUCCAUCGGCUCUUACCGAGUCCCCGCCCCGGAAUCUGUGGAGGGGCCGCUUAGCCUUGGGAGAGGAAGCAGCCCGGUGAACGGCCACUUUCCUGUUUCUCAGUAUCUGCCGAGCGCCUGUGUGCGAGCCCUCCUGGGCUCUGGGGACUGGCCGUGGACAUGGAGCGGAUGAUGCCCCUCGCAGGACUAGUUAAAUAAGUGAAGUUGGUAGCGUGUCAGUCCGUGAUCCUGGGUAGAUAGAGCAGGGCAGCGACGGAAGACUGCCUAUAGGACAUUCACGCUGGGAUGAGAGGGGCCUGAGAGGCCUGGGCUUUGUGACAGGGAAACUUGGAUAAAGGGUGGUGCGAUUCUUCCGGUUGGUCCCUCAGAGGUGGUGGGGCUUGGUUAUACUGGUAGAGGUGCUGGGCUGGCCAGGAGCUUACAGGGUUACACCUCUCGCAUACUGGUGUCCACAGAGCAGCCAUCUUAGCUGGAGGUGUCGAGUGCCUCCCCCACCCCCCACCAUGUGCUUGAGUGCACACCCGGCGCCAGGCCCUGAUCCUGGCACUUCUUGUGAAUCACACCGUGUCAUACCCAUGACUUCCAUUGCACAGUGGGGAAACUGAGUCUAGAGAGGUGAAAUAACAUGUCUAAAGUCACAGGAAGUGAAAAAGCUGAGGACAUGGAGCCAGUUGCCCAAUGACAGGAGAGCUGAAAUGUCCUCACUGCUGGGGGUAGACCGGGCCUCACCAGCUUCCUGGAGAGUCACAUGUUUGUCUGCAUCCUCAGGGGGCUCGCCGGUUCUCCAGCCCGGACUGCUGCCAGAGGCUUCCUGGAGGUGGCAGCUUUCUUCAAAGGCACCAUCCCGGAGCGCAAGCCCCUGAUGGGCGCAGAAAAUUCGGGACAGACCACGUAGAGGUGGGCUCCCAAGCAGGUGCGGACGGCACCAGGCCGCCCAAGGCAUCGCUGCCACCUGAGCUCCAGCCGCCCACAAACUGCUGCAUGAGUGGCUGCCCCAACUGCGUGUGGGUGGAGUACGCGGACAGGCUGCUGCAGCACUUCCAGGACGGUGGGGAGCGGGCCCUGGCUGCCCUGGAGGAGCACGUGGCUGAUGAGAACCUCAAGGCCUUCCUCAGGAUGGAGAUCCGGCUGCACACCAGGUGCGGAGGCUGAGCCAUCCCUGCUGGACUCCCUACCGCAGGACGGAGUCCAGGACGCAGCCGCAGCCUCCUUCCUUCACACCCCCUCACAGACUCCUUGUGUCCAACGGGAAUAGGAAGAAUUAGUUACUGACUUCACCUGAGAAAAAAAUAAAUUCUCUAUGGUGGUUUCACAGGA